This 290-nucleotide unclassified non-coding RNA is filed under the name plant metagenome. RNAcentral's name for it is "partial contains small subunit ribosomal RNA, internal transcribed spacer 1, and 5.8S ribosomal RNA". The stretch from base 1 to 53 matches the Rfam family "Eukaryotic small subunit ribosomal RNA", at positions 1778 to 1831 of the family's 1831-position model. The record is from RNAcentral.
GGAAGUAAAAUCGUAACAAGGUUUCCGUAGGUGAACCUGCGGAAGGAUCAUUAAUGAGUUGUCAUGGGGUUCGGUGCUGGCAGCCAAUUUUUGGAUGCAUGUGCUUGCCCUAACAAUCAUCUUCCAAACACCUGUGCACAUUUUUGAGGGAGUCUUGAGUUGGUUGCCGCUCUUGGGUGAUUUUCUCACAUUCCCUUAAAUCAUUAUACGCUAUUAACAAUGUUGAACGUGCUCUGUGCCGCAAGGCUAUUAAUAUAAUACAACUUUUAACAACGGAUCUCUUGGCUCUC